CAAAUGACCAAAAUCAAAUACUCAAACACAUCAAACAAAUAGAUAAUGACUGUCAUAUUCCUAACUUGGUACAGGCAUUUUCUUCUGUAGAAAUUGGUGGGAUUAAACAUGGUUUUAUAGCUAGCUAAACAUCUCUUGUAACACAAUAACAAAGUUCCAUCAUAUUGACCAUGAUGUGUGUCAGAACAAACAAAAUAUAAGAUAAAAAAA
Molecule: long non-coding RNA, 210 nt
Filed under: Mytilus galloprovincialis (Mediterranean mussel)
Lineage: Eukaryota; Metazoa; Mollusca; Bivalvia; Mytilida; Mytilidae
Source: RNAcentral